UUAACAGAGCAUUGUGAGGGACAGCUGAUGACAGGUAUGAUCAGACUUCCACGUUCACCUGCAGUCUGGAGGGGACACGAGGGAAACGCAGAGCCAUUAGGAAGAAACGUGGCUGCCACACCUCCUGGGUGCUGGGGUGAACCAUUGCCAGGUGUCCCAGGCCUUGUCCUUGAGCCCAUGCUCUGAGGGGUAGGCUCCCAGCCUCCCAGGAUGACCAAGUUCUCAUGGGUAAGAAAGUAGCCAUGCCAAGUGGGCUGUCCACAGGACAUGCUCACACCAGGAUGGGACUCUCCCUAUCCUAGGCUUUACU
RNAcentral lists this long non-coding RNA (310 nucleotides) under Canis lupus familiaris (dog). RNAcentral describes it as "lncRNA (ENSCAFG00030010643.1)". Lineage: Eukaryota; Metazoa; Chordata; Mammalia; Carnivora; Canidae. The record is from RNAcentral.